ACUCCUACGGGAGGCAGCAGUGGGGAAUAUUGCACAAUGGGGGAAACCCUGAUGCAGCCAUGCCGCGUGUGUGAAGAAGGCCUUCGGGUUGUAAAGCACUUUCAGUAGGGAGGAAGGUAGUGUAGUUAACACCUGCAUUAUUUGUACGUUACCUACAGAAGAAGCACCGGCUAACUCCGUGCCAGCAGCCGCGGUAAUACGGAGGGUGCGAGCGUUAAUCGGAAUUACUGGGCGUAAAGCGCAUGCAGGCGGCCUGUUAAGUCAGAUGUGAAAGCCCGGGGCGUUAACCUCGGAAUUGCAUUUGAAACUGGCAGGCUAGAGUCUUGUAAGAGGGGUUAGAAUUUCGAGGUGUAGCGGUGAAAUGCGUAGAGAUCGU
RNAcentral lists this ribosomal RNA (376 nucleotides) under uncultured bacterium. Its description in RNAcentral is "bacterial SSU rRNA". It matches the Rfam family "Bacterial small subunit ribosomal RNA", at positions 335 to 700 of the family's 1533-position model. The record is from RNAcentral.